ACACAGCAUGGACAUGAGGGGGUCUGCUCAGCUCCUGGGGGUCCUGCUGCUCUGGCUCUCAGGUGCCACACGUGCCUUUGAUGUGACCCAGACUCCAACCACAGUGUCUGCAGCUGUGGGAGACACAGUCACCAUCAAUUGCAAGACGGGUCAGAGUGUUGGUAGUAAUCUAGCCUGGUUUCAGCAGAAACCAGGGAAACCUCCAAAGCAACUGAUCUAUGCUGCAUCCACUUUAGCCGAUGGGGUCCCUGACAGGUUCAAGGGCAGUAGAUCUGGGACAUCAUACACUCUCACCAUCAACGGGGUGCAGGCUGCGGAUGUUGGAAUCUACUACUGUGCUGGGUAUUAUAGUGCUAGUAGUGCUACUGCAGUGAUAUAAGUCUUAAUCAAAACCAACCACAA
Molecule: non-coding RNA, 402 nt
Organism: Ochotona princeps (American pika)
Lineage: Eukaryota; Metazoa; Chordata; Mammalia; Lagomorpha; Ochotonidae
Source: the annotation of a RefSeq genome assembly